Molecule: long non-coding RNA, 918 nt
Filed under: Paramuricea clavata
Lineage: Eukaryota; Metazoa; Cnidaria; Anthozoa; Malacalcyonacea; Plexauridae
Source: RNAcentral
GUCAGCGUGUAUAGUAAAGUUUGAGAUAUCUUUUUCAGGUAGUUCACACAGAGACCACGACAGCUUAUUGUAGAAUACUGCCUACACUGGACCACCACGUUUCAGGGCCUUUUUUAAGGAUUUUCCCGUGGGGGGCAUUUUUUGAAAAGGGACCUUUCUGUGAGAUAAUAUAUUACAGGGAGAUAGCAAUGGCUGAAGGCCACGUGUGCGCCGAACAUACCAUGCACGCAUGAAUGAGGGGGGUGUACUCCCCCAGAAAAUUUUUGAAAUUUGAAGCACAGAAAUGCCAUUUCCUGCAUUCUGAGCAUCCAAAUGCGCUCCAAAAUGUAUACUAACUAUACUUGUAUUUGAAAUAAAAGAAGGAAAAAACCCACAAAAAGUUAAAAAAAAUAUUAACCAUAAUUUAUCAUUACUUAUUAGAGGAGGAUCCCAAUGGUCACGUGUGUGGGGGUGUACUCCCCCAGAAAAUUUUUGAAAUUUGAAACACGGAAAUGCCAUUUCCUGCAUUCUGAGCAUCCAAAUUUGCUCUAAAAUUUAUGCUAACUAUACUUGUAUUUGAAAUAAAAGAAGGAAAAAAUGCACAAAAAGUAAAAAAGAAUAUUAACCGUAAUUUAUCAUUAUACUUAUUAGAGGGGGAUACCAAUGGCCGAAGGCCACGUGUGUGGGGGCAUAAUCUCCAGAAAAUUUUUCAAAUUUGAAACCUGGAAAUGCUCUUUCCUGCAUUCUGAGCAACCAAAAAAUAAAAAAUUAUUAACAAUAAUUUAUCAUUACUUAGUGGUAGAAAAACGUAACAAUUUAGAUCGAUUUUGUUAAACAAGGACAAAGGAUAAAGCCUAAAACUUACUUUCCGUUUAUUUAUUUGUUAUUCUUCGCUGUUUUGUUGGUAUAAAUUUAGGAAAAAGGGACUUUUCCUGGGGG